This 119-nucleotide ribosomal RNA is filed under the name Neolamprologus brichardi. Lineage: Eukaryota; Metazoa; Chordata; Actinopteri; Cichliformes; Cichlidae. The record is from RNAcentral.
GCUUUCGACCAUACCACCCUGAACACCCCCCAUCUCGUCUGAUCUCGGAAGCUAAGCAGGGUCGGGCCUGGUCAGUACUUGGAUGGGAGACCGCCUGGGAAUACCAAGUGCUGUAAGCU